RNAcentral lists this long non-coding RNA (1356 nucleotides) under Monodelphis domestica (gray short-tailed opossum). Its description in RNAcentral is "lncRNA (ENSMODG00000029400.2)". The record is from RNAcentral. Lineage: Eukaryota; Metazoa; Chordata; Mammalia; Didelphimorphia; Didelphidae.
AUGCUGGCAGAGGCCGGGGACGGGCCGGCCCCUGGGCUUGGCCGCCCGGCCUCUGCUGUCCCUGCUCUCGUCUCCCCGAAGGAGGGGGCAGGCCCGGCCCCGGAGGCUUCCAGUCAAUGGAGGCAGAGAUUCCGGCAGCCCCUCCCCCACGGGCCAGGAGGCCCCCCAAGCCGGCUAACCCUCGCCGCAGCCUCCCCGGCCCAGAGAGGGCGGCCCGAGCAGGAGCAGCGGACUCAGAAGGGGCUGAGAGCCAGGAAGGAGCCUCCGCCAGGCCGCCAGGCCGCCGGCCUUGCUCAGCCCCGGGGGGAGCCUGGGAGAAACGGCGCGUCCCGGCAGCUGCCUCCAUUUCUUCCUCUGAAAAAUGACCCUGACUACUUCCUGGCCCAAAUCCAAGAGCCACUCGUGACUUGGCUGGGAAGGACCCAAGUUCAAAUCCCGCCUCCCCCAUCUCCAUGGCCCUCAGUUUCCCCCCCUCUGCUUCCCGGCCCCAAGCCUGGCGGGGAACCCGGGCCCGCAGAGGGGGAGGGGAGCCGCAGCUCUGGGGCGCCUUCCGUGGCCUCCGCUCCGGUGUGGGGGGAGCCGGGCGGCUCCGCUUCUUCUGGGGUUCUCCUUGUGGCUCCCUCUGUCGGGGGGCUGCCCCCCAGCUUCAGAGCCCCCCAAAGGCAAAUCCCUGCAAUCCUCCUGAGGGGCCAGCACGGGGCCCCCGAAGCCCCCGCCUCAGCACGGCCAUGGGGGUGUUCAUCGAUCGGCCCGUGGAGGCUGCCCACCUUGGACGCCUCGAGGCCGGCCUCCGCAGGCCGGGCCUUCUCCCGAGCUGCGCCGGGGCGGCUCUCCCGUGCCGGGCUCCCCAGGUGGGCACGUGCCCUCUCCUCACCCCCCUCUGGGAACCUCCGCUUUCCUUCAAGGCUUGGCUCAGGCGCCGCCUCCUCCAGGAAGCCCUCGCUUGAGGAUCCUUGGGUAGGAAGGCCGGGGAGAUGGGUGGAGCUGGCGUCCAGGGACAGGCUUGGGCCGGCCAAGCAGGCCCUGUCCGGGCAAGCCUCAGGUCAAGGGUCAGGAAUGCGCCGGCCUGGGGAGGGAGAGGCCGAGGGCACCUGCCGGCCACCCUCAAAGCUGGAAGGAGGGGCAUACAGCAGGUGCUUCAUUAAUGCUCCCUGGCCAUGGCUGGUCAGGAAGCCCGAGGCACUCCAACAGCCGUCCCAGCCCUGCUUGGCGGCCCUGCCGGGAGCAUCGCUGUGCGCCGGCCUCCCCCCUCCCGGGCGCUCUCUGGAGGGCAACAAACCCUCCUUGGACCAAAGAGAUCUUUGGGGCCUCCUUGUCUUUGGGGGAGGGGCACAAGGGAAGCCCAGUGAGGGGUGA